CUCGAGGAGGAAGGGUUGCAGGUGUAUGUGGGGUACUUGAAAAAAGUGAUCUCCAUGAGAUCCAGGCUUGAAUUUGAGAAUUUGGUGGAGUUGAUGGAGCAGAGUCAUAAUCAGAAUCAGGUUAAUUUUGUUGGGUGUUUAACAAAUUUGUUUAAGGACAUUGUGUUGGCUAUAGAGGAAAAUGAUGAAAUCUUGAGGAGUCUUUGUGGG
Molecule: unclassified non-coding RNA, 210 nt
Filed under: Hevea brasiliensis (rubber tree)
Lineage: Eukaryota; Viridiplantae; Streptophyta; Magnoliopsida; Malpighiales; Euphorbiaceae
Source: RNAcentral